UACGUAGGGUGCGAGCGUUGUCCGGAAUUAUUGGGCGUAAAAGAGCUCGUAGGCGGUGUGUCACGUCGGCCGUGAAAACCUGCAGCUUAACUGUGGGCGUGCGGUCGAUACGGGCAUCACUGGAGUUCGGCAGGGGAGACUGGAAUUCUGGUGUAGCGGUGAAAUGCGCAGAUAUCAGGAGGAACACCGGUGGCGAAGGCGGGGU
This 205-nucleotide ribosomal RNA is filed under the name uncultured bacterium. RNAcentral's name for it is "partial 16S ribosomal RNA". It matches the Rfam family "Bacterial small subunit ribosomal RNA", at positions 524 to 727 of the family's 1533-position model. The record is from RNAcentral.